Molecule: ribosomal RNA, 518 nt
Filed under: uncultured bacterium
Lineage: Bacteria
Description: bacterial SSU rRNA
Rfam family: Bacterial small subunit ribosomal RNA
Source: RNAcentral
AGAGUUGAUCCUGGCUCAGAACGACGCUGGCGGCGCGUUUAAGCAUGCAAGUCGAGCGGCAAGGGCCUUCGGGCCCCUAGAGCGGCGGACGGGUGAGUAACACGUGGACAAUCUGCCCCCCGGCCCGGGAUAGCCCAGGGAAACCUGGAUUAAUACCGGAUGAGACGGGACCCGCGAUGGCGGGAUCCGGGAAAGGCGCUGCGGCGCCGCCGGGGGAUGAGUCUGCGUCCCAUUAGCUAGACGGCGGGGUAACGGCCCACCGUGGCGACGAUGGGUAGCCGGCCUGAGAGGGUGGACGGCCACAUUGGAACUGAGACACGGUCCAGACUCCUACGGGAGGCAGCAGCUAAGAAUCUUCCGCAAUGGGCGAAAGCCUGACGGAGCCGACGCCGCGUGAACGAAGAAGGCCGUGAGGUUGUAAAGUUCUUUUCGGGAGGGGGAACAACCGUGGCAGGGAAUGGCCGCGGGAUGACGUGAAUCCCGGAAUAAGCCCCGGCUAACUACGUGCCAGCCGCGGC